This 855-nucleotide ribosomal RNA is filed under the name uncultured marine group I thaumarchaeote. RNAcentral describes it as "SSU rRNA". It matches the Rfam family "Archaeal small subunit ribosomal RNA", at positions 12 to 873 of the family's 1478-position model. Lineage: Archaea; Thermoproteati; Nitrososphaerota. The record is from RNAcentral.
UCCCGCCGGACCUGACUGCUAUCGGAUUGAUACUAAGCCAUGCGAGUCUUUGUAGUAAUACAAGGCAGACGGCUCAGUAACACGUAGUCAACCUACCCUAUGGACAAGAAUAAUCUCGGGAAACUGGGCAUAAUUCUUGAUAGAUCAUAAUGCCUGGAAUGGUUUAUGGUUAAAAUGAUUCGUCGCCAUAGGAUGGGACUGCGGCCUAUCAGCUUGUUGGUGAGGUAAUGGCCCACCAAGGCGAUUACAGGUACGGGCUCUGAGAGGAGAAGCCCGGAGAUGGGUACUGAGACACGGACCCAGGCCCUAUGGGGCGCAGCAGGCGAGAAAACUUUGCAAUGUGCGAAAGCACGACAAGGUUAAUCCGAGUGAUUUCUGCUAAAGAAAUCUUUUGCCAGUCAUAAAACCACUGGUGAAUAAGGGGUGGGCAAGUUCUGGUGUCAGCCGCCGCGGUAAAACCAGCACCUCAAGUGGUCAGGAUGAUUAUUGGGCCUAAAGCAUCCGUAGCCGGCUUUGUAAGUUUUCGGUUAAAUCCAUGUGCUCAACGCAUGGGCUGCCGAAAAUACUGCAUGGCUAGGGAGUGGGAGAGGUAGACGGUACUCAGUAGGAAGGGGUAAAAUCCUUUGAUCUAUUGAUGACCACCUGUGGCGAAGGCGGUCUACCAGAACACGUUCGACGGUGAGGGAUGAAAGCUGGGGGAGCAAACCGGAUUAGAUACCCGGGUAGUCCCAGCUGUAAACGAUGCAGACUCGAUGAUGCAUUGGCAUAAUAGCCAGUGCAGUGUCGCAGGGAAGCCGUUAAGUCUGCCGCCUGGGAAGUACGUACGCAAGUAUGAAACUUAAAGGAUUGGCGGGG